UUCCUUCCUGGCUGCUGGGCCUGGUGGUUUCUUGGUGGAUUCUUCACCACUGGACCACCAGAGAAGUCCCUGGCUGUCUUUUCUCAGUGGGAAAGAGGACCCGCAGAGAAGGUCAUCUUCCAGGACUUGAGGGGGUCCCCGGAGGCCUGACCCACCCCCAGGAUCUGCGGAGAGGAGGCAACGCAAGCUAUAAAGAGCGGUUCGUUCCUUCCCUGUGUCCACAAAAGCAUCAUCCCAUCACACAGAUGAGGAAGCCGAGACUCACUGGCUCAUUGAACCCACAGGAGUGCCCUGAGCACCUACUGUGCUCACAGCCUAGUGGGAAAGGCAGGGAGAAUACAGCUCACGCUGACCUGGCGCCUCAGUGACCGAAAUGGGAAGGAAAUCCAAGGAAGAGGGGAUGUAGGCACACGUGUGGCUGGCUCACUUUGCUGGACAGCGGAAACUAACACACAUAGUAAAGCAGCUAUACUGCAAAAAAAAGGAAAGAAAACUUCUCGCCCAGCCCUCUGAAAGGCUCCCAGAGAGCGUUCCGACUCCCCUGUUUGUUGCUGGGGGGGACUGUUCCCUUUCUGCCAAAGGAGAAAGCCAGGCCAGAGUGGGCCAUCCCGUGCAGAGCCACCAGCUUCCCAGGGUGGGGCAGGCUUCCUGCCUUUGCCGGGCUGCUGCCCCUGCUGGGGAGAGAAUCGGCUUCCUCGCGGUCGCGGGGAUCCGGCUCCGUGCUCAGGGCGUCACUUCCUCAGGGACCCUUCCGGGCUGGGAGGGCCGGUCCGCACCCCAGGGCUUCCUCUUGUUUACCGCGCGUGCCUCUCGCUCCCCGGCUCUCCCGCCGAAUGAGCAGUAGUGGCGGUGUUUCCCCAGGGAGCCGCCACAGGUCCCCUCCCCAGGGGCCUCUCCCAGCCCCGGGGGUCCGGCCACCUGCAGCAAGUGUGUGGCUGCUUCCCCAGCUGCUGUUUGCAGGAUCACCGCGUGGAUGACCGGCAUCCUCUCUACAACGUCGGCUCCGCGAGGAUGGGCAUCUUGGCCUGUUCCCUUUGCCAGUGGGUCCCGGUUGCCCGGCACAUAGAUGUGGGGUCUUAACUCCCCGACCAGGAACUCCCCUGCAUUGGAAACACCGAGUCUUCUCCCUGACCAGGAACUCCCCUGCAUUGGAAACACUGAGUCUUAACUACUGGACCACCAGGGAAGUCCCUCAAAUAUUUUGCGCACCUACUAAUGCUCCAGUCUGCAGGGAUAUGGAAACGAAGAAAACAGGCAAAAAUCUCUGUAGAUAUUCUGUUAGUAGAGAUAGCCAUCAGAGACAGUAUGAGUCAAGCUGAUACUCAGGGCCCAGGUUGUUGGGGGGGUUGGUCAGGGGAGGCCCUGCCUGCCUCAGUCUGGGCACUUGGGGAAGGCUGUGCAUUCAGACCAGAAGGAUGUGGAGAAAGGGAGCCAGGUGAAGAGUGGGGGGUGUCCCAGCGGCCAGGACUGGCCCCUGCAGGAGGUGGGGGAGUGGGCAUGGCAAUUCGGGGACCCACCUCUGGCUUGGCCUGGAUGGGGGGAGGAGAGAGAGGGCGGGGGGUGCUGAAAAGGCCGGACCUGACUUAGGUUUUACCAUCACUCCGGCCGCAGCGUGCAGCCGAGACUGGGGGAGCAUGGUGGCUGGAGGCAGGCAGACCGGAGGGGAGCCUGGAGUCCUGUCCACCCGUCAGAAAACAGGAGGGAGGGAGGUCAAGUAACCCUGGAAACAGGGUGUCCUGAUCUUCCCUGGAAACAGGCCCAGGAUGUGGCAGCUGAGACUUCCUCCCUCCUUCCGGGGAACUGGAUCAGGCAUCAGCAGCACCUCCAAUACCAUCCUCCAGCAUCACCUCCAGCAUCACCUCCAGCGUCACCUCCAGCGUCACCUCCCAGCAUCACCUCCAGCAUCACCUCCCAGCAUCACCUCCCAGCAUCACCUCCAGCAUCACCUCCAGCAUCAUCCUCCAGCAUCACCUCCAACACCAUCCUCCAGCAUCACCACCAUCACCUCCAGCAUCACCUCCAAGACAACACUUGGGCAGUGGCUGUCAGCCCUUGCACUGCUCACCCCAUGUCUGGCCAGGCACUUCUGAGAUGGAACUGCCCCGCGGCUCCACAUGGUGUGACGUCCCACGAGGGUGUUCACAGCACAUUCAGCACCAGCCCAAGAUGGAGAUAGCCCAGUGGUACAUCACCCGUCACCCAUCAAAACCACCCCAUCUACCCAGAAAGCAGAGGGAGGGGCCGGAUGGUGAAGAGUUUUGGAGCACAGACCUGGGAGCCCGCCUGCCUGGGUCUGAAUCCCACCUCUGCCAGGCAUAGCUGUGUGGCACUGGGCAGGUGCCUAGAUACUCUGUGCCUCAGUUUCCCCAUCUACAAAAUGGGGAUUAGGACUUCUAAUAGGAUCACUUCACUCUUCUGAUGCAUUCAUUGAUCCAUGUAAAGCAUCUGGAACCAUGCCCAGCACACAGUAAAUCCUCUGGAAACUUUGCUGCCAUUAUUAUUAUUGUGAACAUUAUGGUUAUUAUUCCUCGGCAAAGUGAAAGUCACUUAGUCGUGUCCAACUCUUUGUGACACCAUGGACUAUAGCCCGCCAGGCUCCUCUGUUCAUGGAAUUCUCCAGGUCAGAAUACUGGAGUGGGUAGCCAUGCCCUCCUCCAGGGGAUCUUCCCAACCCAGGGAUCGAAGCUGGGUCUCCCGCAUUGCAGACAGAUUGUUUACCUCCUCGUGGUAGAAAUACGGACUAAUCCAAAGGAGAAGAGGCAGGACCAAAUGUAAAGUGGGCUGCCAGUUGUAGAAAAAGGCAAGAAUAACUAGAUUGUGUGUGUAGAUGCUCGCAGCCUCUCAGAAGGAAAUCUGAGUCAUUGAAAGCCCUGGAUUCGGUGCAGGGAGUGUGGACUUGCGGGGAGCGGAGAGCCACGCUGACUUUUCACUCUAUACUUUUACACCCUCUGUGCUGAGUUCCGUGUGUGUUUCCUCUGUGUGCUUGUAUGUAUAUUCAAAACCAAACAUGCCAGAAAGCAAUUCUGCUUGAGGUUCCCUCCAGGAAGGCCCCGGCGUUCCCCACCCCCACCCUCUCCACCCACCCCUGCGUCCUGGCCUGUGUGUGUGGCCCAGUCUCGCCUGGUUUUCAGAGCUCUAGGCCUUGGAGCAGGUCUGAACUGGAGUGCCCUGCAAGAAACGGGGCUCCUCAGAGACCCCCAGAGCGGCCUUGGCUCCGGGUGGUGCAGGGUGUGGGGGCUGGAGGGGGUGGUCCCGACCCGCUGAUGAGAACUCCAAACGCUCCCAGCCCCGGGGCUGCUAAUCGCUUCCAGAUUGGCCAGGUCAGGGCCAGGGCCCCCGCCGCCCGGCUCCAUAAACAGCCCGUCGCUCCAGAUGGCGGCUGGCUCCAGCCUGGCGAGCAGGUUCACGGGGGACUGGGGGGCCGCAGCAGGUGGAGGACCCCCGCCCGCCUCGUCAGGGCAGGGAGGCCCCGCCCGCCCGCCCGCCCGGCUGCCUAGAGGCAGCACGCCAGCCAGGAGUGGGAGUUCAACCCAUUCCUCAGAGGGGAGAAACCGAGGCCCUGAGGGGGCCAGGGACGGUCCCAGCUUGGUGGUGGACAGCAACGUGGGGAUGGGGCUCCUGGGUCUGCUCGGCUCUGAGUCCAGCGCACAGUGGGGCUGCAGUGAAGACCCAAGUGAGGAAACAGGGAAGAAGAGAGGGAAGGAGGGAGGCAUUCUGGCCCCCUGGGCUCUGACUUUUAGUCCCUGAGGGAAUCAAUUGUUUCUGCUUUCUGAGCCCCAUUUCUGUGAAAUGGGGAUGGCCAGAGGGCUGACCUUGGCAAUUGCUGGAACAGGGACCUGGCUCCUGUGGACCUCCGGGGCAGUAUGGGCUGUGUAUGUUGCAGGCGCUCCGUUCUGUCUGUCUCUCACCCUCAGCCUCCUUCAGUUCCUGCUUCUCCCCCCACCACACUCCCACCAGGAAGCAUGGUGGCCUCCUCCAGGAAGCCUCCCUGGCUUCGACUCAGACCUCUCCCUUUGUGCCAGGCUCUGUGCCCGUCCCGUAGCCCUCCCCAGCUCCAUGGCAUUUUACUGGUACCUGUGCUAUUUGCCGCUCUGGCAGGUGAGGAAAUCGAGAGUCAGGAGGUAGCUAUGCUGGGGUUCCCCAGCCCUUGUCCCUGCAGGUGAAGAAAUGGGGGUCGUGGGGCAGCAGGGCACAGUGAGGGGCUUACCGCCAAGAAAAGGCAGAACUGAGUGUUCUGGAGGCUUCACCAGGCCCAAAGUCAGGAAGCCUGGCCGCUUCCUGCCACCUGUUGGCACAGGAGAUGAGGACCCAGGCCUGCAGGCCCCAGGUGGGUCCUGGGUCAUGCUCCCCAAAGAAAGGAGUGUGUGUGGAGCCCUGGCCUGAUGGUCUGCCCCCACCACCGCCUGGAGCCCAGGCUGGCCCCGGAUGUCCCUCGGGUGGCUGGGCAGGAUCCUUGUCCGCUAAGUGGGGACACAGCUCCUGGAGGGCCGAGGCCCCCAGUUUUCCCCCAUCUUAAUCCUGGUAUCCAGCGCAGAACACCCCGAGUACAGCUUUGUUGGAUGAGUGACAGAGGAGACAGAAGAUCCAUCACAUAUAAACCAGGCCAGGCACAAUCCUCAGUAAUUAACUUAGGGUAGCUUCUUUUUUCAUUUAAUUUUUGGCCUGUGCCACACAGCAUGUGGGAUCUUAGUUCCCCACCCAGGGGGAACUGCAAUGGAAGCAGAGAAUCCUAACCCCUGGGCUGCCGGGAAUCGCCCAGGGUAACUUCUUUAACAGUCUGGGGGAGGCACUCUUAUAAUUUCCAUUUUACAGAGGAGGCUCAGAGAGGUGGAGUACCUUGCCCAAGUGCACACAGCUAGAGCUGGACUUUGCACCCUGGCCUUUUAGGGCCAACGCACAUGCUCUCAACCACCUGUUCCCCCUCCCAGGGCAGCAGUGAGCCCGAAAUGAGUUCGCUGGGCACCAGGCACAUAGUAGGUGCUUUCCCACAGCCCCGCCCCACUCUCCAUCAUCAGCUGAUGCCUGGAUUCAGAUUUCGGCCCGGCCUGGAGGUCAGUGGCCUGUUCUGCCUCGUGCUGGAGGAAUGUUCGCGGUGGCCUCGGCCCGGGUCCGAGAAGAAAGGCGGCCUUGUGGGCGAAAGGCAAGUAUUUUCUAGAUGAUGAGCUCUUAGAAGAAUCCUAGAGGAGUCCUAUUUUCUCUUCUGAGAGUCAUGCUCAUCUGCCGUCCCUGAAGACUGUUUCCUUAUGUCUGCCCACCGGCAAUGGUGCUAACUAGGAACCCGGGACCUGGAGCCAGUCAGCUCUUCUGUGGGGGGAUCAGGGAAUAGCUUCACAAGGAGUGUCUGGUGAAAAACCAAGCCAAAACCUCCCUUUCUGGGUUUUGUUUCUCUUCGAAUACAAAAGAGAAACACAUUCUUUUCAGAAACCUCAGAAAAUAAAGAAAAUUUAGGAGGAAAAAAGUUAGAAAAAUAAAACCUGCUUCCCCACCCCCACCCAGCCAGCCACCAGGGGCCUGGAUACAGACCAGGGUUUGGGCCCUGGGUUGAGCUGGCUUCCUCUCCAUCCCCACGCCCGACUGGCUGUGUGACCUCAGGCAAGUCAGGCAGCCUCUCUGGGCCUUGUGUCCUCAUCGGUAACUGGGGCUCCGAGGGGUGCCAGUCUUGAGAAUCAAAUGCGAUCACGAGGGUAAACACAAAACGCUUCGUAAGCAGAGGUUGCGGCAAGUUUCCAGGACUUUUUGGGAUCUCAGUUCUCCGACCAGGGAUGGAACCCACGUUCCCCGCAGUGGAAGGGCAGAGUCCUAACCGCUGGACCACCAGGGAAGUCCCCACCCCAUUGGGCCCACAGCCCAGUGACACCCAGAACCCACGAGUCCAGACCCAGCUCCACGCCCACCCACUCAGAUCCCACAGCUGCGUGCUCCCUGCUCCUGCUUCCAGCUAGACCCCGAACCGACGGCUGCUCCCCGACACCCAGCAGCAGCCCCUCUUCACGGGUGUCCUCACUCCCUGACUAUCUCUGCUCGCAGGCUGACAGGGCGAUCUGCCCAGCACCCCUGAGGUACACGCAGUCACGUCUUGGGACGUUUUGGUUGUCACAACUGACAGUGGGUGGCGGCCAGGGUGCGGCCAAGCUGCCCUCUCGCGCCCGGGACGGCCCCGUGGCAAAGAACAGUCCGACCCCAACAUUUAAUAGCUGAGGAUGAAGACCUUGUGUGAGCUCCAAGUCAUGCCUGUUCUCUGCGCUCACCUUCCACGGCUUGCUCCCAGCUCAGCCGGAGAACAGCCAACGUCCUCAGGGCGGCAGGAGAGGCCCGAGGGGCUCCGUGGCCACUCCGCCCUCCAGCCCUCCAGCCCUCCACUGAAGCCACACCAGCUCCUCCCUCUUCCUCACAUCAAGAAGGCUGAGGACUGAGGAAUUGAUGCUUUUGAACUGUGAUGCUGGAGAAGACUCUUGAGAGUCCCUGAGACAGCAAAGAGAUCAAACCAGUCAAUCCUAAAGGAAAUCAACCCUGAAUCUUUAUUGGGAGGAUUGGUGCUAAAGCUGAAACUCCGAUACUUUGGCCACCUAAUGCAAAGAGCUGACUCGUUGAAAAGACCCUGAUGCUGGGAAAGAUUGAGGGCAGGAGGAGAAGGGGAUGACAGAGGAUGAGAUGGUUGGAUGGCAUCACUGACUAAAUGGACAUGAGUUUGAGUAAACUCCAGGAGAUGGUGAAGGACAGGGAAGCCUGGCGUGUUGCAGUUCACGGAGUCGCAAAUAGUCAGACACGACUUAGCAACUGAACAACGACCACUCAACCUCCCAAGUUUGUGAUGUCUGGGCAGCGGCUGUGGACAGAAGACCUGGAAGCUGAUAAUUUGCCACUGGAGUGGAGACCCAGGAGGAAAUCCCUGAAGCCGUGGGCUGGAAUCUCCCAUAACCCAGCAUCCGUGGUUGCACCAAGUGACCCCCUCACCAGGGAAAGCAGCGAAGAUGGAGGGGACCCCAAAGACCACUGCCAGCAUUUAUGGGGCACCAACUGUAUGCUCCACUCUAGACUAGGCGACGUAGAGAUUGUACUGCAGUGAAUUCCUGGGAGCCACAGGCUGUCACUUAACCAUCUCACGGUCCCCAGGGUAGGCAGGGUGAACUGGCCAUCCAUGUAUUCAAACAUUAUGAAGCACCUACCAUGUACCACUGACUGUGCUGACUGCAUCGACCUGCCAACAAAGAUAACUCCCAGAGUGUGGAUGCAGAGAAAGUCACUGCGUUUUUCUAUCAGUGCUUUCAAUGAUGAUUACUUGUUUACAGAAAGCAUUCUUUUUGUAAAUAAAUAGACUUGGAGAAUUCCCAAGUUCAAAAAAUACAACCCUAUCAUCUUCGAAUGUCAGGAGGAAGUGUAGGGGGCCUUGGGAGCCCCAAGGGGGCGCCUCUGGGAUCAAGGAGCCUCCCAGGAGAGGGUGAGUCCUGAGCACAGGCCCCGGGUCUUGUGGGCGGGGACUCAGAUCGGGGAGGAGGGCCACCGCCCAGGCCUACUCCAAGGCUCCUCCUCUGGUUGUGGGUGUCCCGAGUCCACGUUCGCAGGUGGAGUUUAUGAGAGCCUUUCUUCUGUAAUUGGCCGUUUCUGUCUCUCCGCCGCCCCGCCCCCCCUGCCUCGUCCGCUACUCUGUCCCCAGGGCCUGGAGCGCACAGUAGGUGCUUGCAGUGAGCUGAAUGGUGUCCCUCCCCCAAGUCGUGUCCGCCGGAAGCUCAGAAUGCGGCCUUAUUUGGACAUGGGAUGUUUGCAGAUGGCAUUAGUCAGGGAUCGUAAGAUGAGAUCACUACUGGACUGGGGGGAACCCUAAAGUCAACAGCUGGUGUCCUUAUGAGUAAAGGACACAGACGCACACAGGCCACGUGGAGAGGGAGGCAGAGACUGGAGGGCGGCGUCUUCCAGCCAGGCAACACCAGGAGCCCAGAGGGGCUGGAACAGCCAGGAGGAUUCUCUCCUGGAGCCUUCAGAGGGGACAAGGCCCUGCUGACACCUUGAUUUCGGAAUUCUCCAGAACUGUAGGAGGGUGAAUGUCUCUCUUUUUGUUUUUGAAAUGUGUAUUUAUUUAUGGCUGCGCUGGGUCUUCCUGCUGCACGCAGGCUUUCUCCAGUUGCAGGGAGCUGGGGCUGCUCUUCGUUGCCGAGUGUGGACUUCAGUAGCUGUGGCACGCGGGCUUAGUGCUUCCGCGGCACGCACGAUCUUCCUGGGUCGGGGAUUGAACCUGUGUCCUCUGCACUGGCAGGUGGAUUCUUAUCCACGGCACCGCCGGGGAAAUCAGAGAAUAAAUUCCUCCUGUUUCAAGCCACCAGGUUUGUAGCAGUCUGUUAGGGCAGCCACAGAGAAGACACACAGAUUCCUCAAUGCAUGCAGGUUCCUCGCAUGGAUGAUCA
Molecule: long non-coding RNA, 8399 nt
Organism: Dama dama (fallow deer)
Lineage: Eukaryota; Metazoa; Chordata; Mammalia; Artiodactyla; Cervidae
Exons: 5
Source: RefSeq, a predicted model, not a curated record